UCAAUUAGGACUCUCCUAGCUAGAGUCCUAACAAACCCGCCCUCUUCAAAUCAGCCUUGUCCUCAAGGCUGAGAUUCCAUGAACUCAGGGAACCGGGUCUUCAGCUCCUCAUAUGGUUCCCAUGUGGUGUCUUCAGUGGUAGAUUAUUCCAAUGCACUGGUACUUCAGUAGAGGGAUGUCGGCGACGCAUCACGAUCCUACGAUCGAGGAUGGCUUGUGGUUGGGCUUGAAUAACUCCAUCCUCAGUUGUGUUGGGCAGUUGGAU
This 265-nucleotide long non-coding RNA is filed under the name Musa acuminata (dwarf banana). RNAcentral describes it as "long non-coding RNA (MACU_LNC004580)". The record is from RNAcentral. Lineage: Eukaryota; Viridiplantae; Streptophyta; Magnoliopsida; Zingiberales; Musaceae.